GACGACGACGGGUAGCCGGCCUGAGAGGGCGACCGGCCACACUGGGACUGAGACACGGCCCAGACUCCUACGGGAGGCAGCAGUGGGGAAUAUUGCACAAUGGGGGAAACCCUGAUGCAGCGACGCMGCGUGCGGGAUGACGGCCUUCGGGUUGUAAACCGCUUUCAGCAGGGAAGAAGCGCAAGUGACGGUACCUGCAGAAGAAGUACCGGCUAACUACGUGCCAGCAGCCGCGGUAAUACGUAGGGUACGAGCGUUGUCCGGAAUUAUUGGGCGUAAAGAGCUCGUAGGUGGUUGGUCACGUCUGCUGUGGAAAGCAACGCUUAACSGUGCGCSGGCAGUGGGUACGGGCUGACUAGAGUGCAGUAGGGGAGUCUGGAAUUCCUGGUGUAGCGGUGAAAUGCGCAGAUAUCAGGAGGAACACCGGUGGCGAAGGCGGRACUCUGGGCUGUAACUGACACUGAGGAGCGAAAGSAUGGGGAGCGAACAGGAUUAGAUACCCUGGUAGUCCAUGCCGUAAACGUUGGGCACUAGGUGUGGGGGGCAUUCCACGUUCUCCGCGCCGUAGCUAACGCAUUAAGUGCCCCGCCUGGGGAGUACG
RNAcentral lists this ribosomal RNA (601 nucleotides) under Brevibacterium sp. CMT304. Its description in RNAcentral is "bacterial SSU rRNA". It matches the Rfam family "Bacterial small subunit ribosomal RNA", at positions 272 to 884 of the family's 1533-position model. The record is from RNAcentral. Lineage: Bacteria; Bacillati; Actinomycetota; Actinomycetes; Micrococcales; Brevibacteriaceae.